RNAcentral lists this ribosomal RNA (468 nucleotides) under uncultured Nitrobacter sp. RNAcentral's name for it is "bacterial SSU rRNA". It matches the Rfam family "Bacterial small subunit ribosomal RNA", at positions 897 to 1364 of the family's 1533-position model. The record is from RNAcentral. Lineage: Bacteria; Pseudomonadati; Pseudomonadota; Alphaproteobacteria; Hyphomicrobiales; Nitrobacteraceae.
AAACUUAAAGGAAUUGACGGGGGCCCGCACAAGCGGUGGAGCAUGUGGUUUAAUUCGACGCAACGCGCAGAACCUUACCAGCCCUUGACAUGUCCAUGACCGGUCGCAGAGAUGUGACCUUCUCUUCGGAGCAUGGAGCACAGGUGCUGCAUGGCUGUCGUCAGCUCGUGUCGUGAGAUGUUGGGUUAAGUCCCGCAACGAGCGCAACCCCCGUCCUUAGUUGCUACCAUUUAGUUGAGCACUCUAAGGAGACUGCCGGUGAUAAGCCGCGAGGAAGGUGGGGAUGACGUCAAGUCCUCAUGGCCCUUACGGGCUGGGCUACACACGUGCUACAAUGGCGGUGACAAUGGGAUGCAAAGGGCGAACCCCUAGCAAAUCUCAAAAGACCGUCUCAGUUCGGAUUGGGCUCUGCAACUCGAGCCCAUGAAGUUGGAAUCGCUAGUAAUCGUGGAUCAGCAUGCCACGGUG